AGUGAACGCUGGCGGUAGGCCUAACACAUGCAAGUCGAACGGCAGCACAGGAGAGCUUGCUCUCUGGGUGGCGAGUGGCGGACGGGUGAGGGAUACAUCGGAAUCUACACUGUCGUGAGGGAUAACGUAGGGAAACUUACGCUAAUACCGCAUACGACCUACGGGUGAAAGCAGGGGACCUUCGGGCCUCGCGCGAUAGAAUGAGCCGAUGUCGGAUUAGCUAGUUGGCGGGGUAAAGGCCCACCAAGGCGACGAUCCGUAGCUGGUCUGAGAGGAUGAUCAGCCACACUGGAACUGAGACACGGUCCAGACUCCUACGGGAGGCAGCAGUGGGGAAUAUUGGACAAUGGGCGCAAGCCUGAUCCAGCCAUACCGCGUGGGUGAAGAAGGCCUUCGGGUUGUAAAGCCCUUUUGUUGGGAAAGAAAUCCAGCUGGCUAAUACCCGGUUGGGAUGACGGUACCCAAAGAAUAAGCACCGGCUAACUUCGUGCCAGCCGCCGCCGUAA
RNAcentral lists this ribosomal RNA (506 nucleotides) under uncultured bacterium. RNAcentral describes it as "partial 16S ribosomal RNA". It matches the Rfam family "Bacterial small subunit ribosomal RNA", at positions 29 to 523 of the family's 1533-position model. The record is from RNAcentral.